AGCGAACGCUGGCGGCAGGCCUAACACAUGCAAGUCGAGCGGCCGUAGCAAUACGGCAGCGGCAGACGGGAUAGUAACACGUGGGAACGCGCCCUUCGGUUCGGAAUAACUCAGGGAAACUUGAGCUAAUACCGGAUACGCCCUUACGGGAAAGAUUUAUUGCCGAAGGAACGGCCCGCGUCCGAUUAGCUAGUUGGUGAGGUAAUGGCUCACCAAGGCAACGAUCGGUAGCUGGCUGAGAGGAUGACCAGCAUCACUGGGACUGAGACACGGCCCAGACUCCUACGGGAGGCGGCAGUAGGGAAUCUUGCGCAAUGGGCGAAAGCCUGACGCAGCCAUGCCGCGUGAAUGAUGAAGUC
Molecule: ribosomal RNA, 359 nt
Filed under: uncultured bacterium
Lineage: Bacteria
Description: bacterial SSU rRNA
Rfam family: Bacterial small subunit ribosomal RNA
Source: RNAcentral